AGAGGAUUUUUUUGCUAUGACCGGCAUGCCUGGUCAGGAACAGUGGUACUAUUAGAUGUCGUAACCAUUUUAAUACUUGUAAGAGAGAUUCCACUCCAUACUUGAAGCAUUCAACUGGUCCAUCAUGCUAUAUCUCUACUACUCCUUAAGAGUAUAGUGUAGGCGUCCACAAUUCACCUGGUGCACGGUUCUGCCUGUGCCGCGGAUGGAAGGUUGUGCAUGGCCCGCUCGACCACACCCAUGCCCCACCCUGCGCAUGCCCGCCAGAAUCGCCGCAGGCACUCUCUACCCCGACGCCCGCCACCCGAACCCUAGAAGCCCCACCCGCUUCCUUGUCGCCCCCAAACGCAGCGGAUCCGGUCGCGGUCACAGCGGGCGGAUCCGGUCGGAGAUCCUUGCUUAACCAAACCAAAUCCAAAAAACGAACUUUUUAGCAUGAUCUCUCAGAAUUGAGCAACAGAAAGCUGAUGAACGAACACUACAACUUCCUGAGAAACACAAGAAAUAUGAGGAUGCUUUGAACAAAAUCCUGCGGUUAGAAAGGUAGGUGGAUGAAAAGCAAAAGUUGGAGUGAUACUGAGCGACUUAAACGCAAACUGGGGGUGGUGAAACACAUGGAAGGAGAGGGUGUUGAUGUGAAUAAACAUUUUGUGGAGCUGACGACAGAAUUGAAUGAAAGAAUUGAAGAGAUGGCAGACCUGGAAGCUCUCAAUCAAACCCUCAAUAAGUAUCUGCGUCCACUUUGUUUUAGGAGCAAGGUGUAAUUAUCUGUAUUUUCCUUUUGGUAUAACACAUCAAUCUUUUCUUUUAUUCGAUUUAUGGCAGAUCAUAAUGCCUAGAGAGAACUUGCUGAAACAUAUGUUUCCUUACAAAUGUAAGGUGUUCAAUAUCAAUCCACUCUAGAUAUGGAUCUCAUAUUACAAAACU
Zea mays is the source of this 927-nucleotide long non-coding RNA. RefSeq lists it as uncharacterized. NCBI's taxonomy places the organism in Eukaryota, Viridiplantae, Streptophyta, Magnoliopsida, Poales, Poaceae. The record is from RefSeq and is a predicted model, not a curated record. The transcript is spliced from 4 exons.